This 1256-nucleotide long non-coding RNA is filed under the name Numida meleagris (helmeted guineafowl). RNAcentral describes it as "lncRNA (ENSNMEG00000006741.1)". Lineage: Eukaryota; Metazoa; Chordata; Aves; Galliformes; Numididae. The record is from RNAcentral.
GAGCCAUGCCUCCCAGUCCUUUCCCUAGCUGCCAGACCGCACCACUUACCCAACAAAUUAUGCUGAUGAAGAUGGAGUACCUGGUUUGCAGCUCUGACACAGCUUGUUUUUUCUUGUAAUACACAGAAACCAUAAUUUCCUGAGUGCAGAGGAAGCUCUGUCUGGUGGAGACUCAUGUAAAAUCCAUUCCAUGAAUCUCUUGCGGAGUGCAGGCUUCUGCCUCCACUUAUCCAAAUGUCUUCCUCCUGCAGAAGACUCCUUGGCUGCUAAGCUCUUCAGCCUCUGCCUUGCUGAAUCUGGGUUUGUCCCAAAGUUGCCUAGAGGUACAGAAUGGCUGGGGCUGGGGCAGGGUGUGCGGAAAAACCAAGGCUGAGGGGGACAUCCCAGGCCCAGCAGAUGCCCUCCAGAUGGUCCUGAGGCCGGAUGCAGGAGGUGAACCUGCUGGGAGAGAGGAAGCAGGGAGCCCUGAAGUUGGAGGAAAUGUUCUCUGACGGGAAAUAUCACUCCUCUGUUGGUUCUGCUGAGCAGCGGAGAUGUACAAGGUCUGCAGAGCAGCAGUGUGGUCAGCAGCUUCCUGCAGCUCUGACACAGCAUCAAGAGUUUAAAAGUAGGAACUAAGAAAGGAAGACCAACAUUUACUUCCACGCCCAUGUGAAAAAUCCUUGUGUUGCACAGCAUGACCCACGAAAAGACAACUGAAGGGAAUCACAAAUUUGAUGUAGCUUCUGUAAUUAGGAGUUGCAUGGGUAUAAAAUGUCUCAGAUUUAAAGGAUGAGUAAUAAUCCAAACUGCAAGUAAGUGCAAGUCUAAAUUCCUUAGCAAAUCUCUGAGCAGUUGCAGCCUGCUUUGAACUUGCCUUGCUCAGGAUGAUGAAACAAAGAAAGCUUACAGCAAAUCUGACUCAAAAAAAAAAAAAAAAAAAAAAAAAAGAGGAGAAAGGAUUGUUUUUCUUUAGAAAAAUGUAGGAAGAUAGCACAGUUGCUUAGAUCUGCUUUUAAGUACAAGGCUUUCCAAAUCCGGGGAGAAGGUGGCUUCUUGGAGUCCGCACCUGACAGUGACCAGUGACUGCACUGAGAUUCAGAUCUCCGGCAGAAGGGCAGGGGCUGGGGCUUGGGGCUACGCCUCUCGGCAGGGAGUGCUCCAGCCCCCAGCCUGCUUCUCGGGCCUUGUUUAGUUUGGUUUUGCUAAGCGCUGCUGCUUUCGGUUCCUCUACAAUAGCAGAGCUUGUGUACAGAAAGGUCAACUUCAGGUCAAGC